Ictidomys tridecemlineatus (thirteen-lined ground squirrel) is the source of this 2377-nucleotide non-coding RNA. The record is from RefSeq and is a predicted model, not a curated record. Lineage: Eukaryota; Metazoa; Chordata; Mammalia; Rodentia; Sciuridae.
ACAGCGGGAUACAAGCAGGGUCAGAGUGAUUCCAGGCCUGAUGGUGAGGUCCAGAAUGGACACCGGGCUGGAAUCCCAUCUGAGCGGUCUUACUCAGCUGGCUCCCCAGAACUUCUAGAAAAUCUCACGCAAAAAAGGUACUUGCAUAUCCUGGAAAUGAGGCCCUUGUAGGAUAUAUGUAUUGAUACAUGUUACAGGUAUUUUCCCCCAGGUUAUCAAUUGCCUUUUCACUCUGAUAAUGAAAUCUUUUUGAAGAACAUAUGCUCUUCAUUUGAAUGAAAUCAGUUUAUUAGUCUUUUAUUUGUAGUUCAUGGCUCAUUCUGUUUAAAACUUUUCCCUACCAUUGCAGACAAAGUGCUAUGUUUGGCAGUUUUUGUCCUCUUCAAAAUUCAUGUUGAAACUUAAUCCCUAAGUUUGGGGAGGUGGGACCUAAUUGGAGGUAUUUAAAUUAUCAGGGCCCAGACCUCAUGAACAGAUUAAUGAUACUAUAUAAAGGGCUUUGGGGGCACACCCAUAAUCCCAGCGGCUGGAGAGGCUGAGACAGUAGGAUCACAAGUUCAAAGCCUCAGCAAAAACAAGGUGCUAAGCAUCAAGACCCUAUCUCUAAAUAAAAACCAAAACAGGGCUAGGGAUGUGUCUCAGUAGCCGAGUAUCCCUGAGUUCACUCUCCGGUACUAAGAAAAAAGGGCUUGCUGUACUGGAUUUUCAUUCUCUCUUUUGCUCUUCUGCCAUAUGAGGACACAACAUUUGUCUCCACCUGCCCUUCCUUCUGCCUUCCCCUGUAGCAGGAAGGCCCUCACCAGAAACAGGAUGCCAGUGCCUUGAUCUUGGACUUCCCAUCCUCCGGAACUGUAAGGAAGUAAAUAUCUGUUCUUUAUAAAAUACUCAGUCUCAGGUACUCUGUUAUACUAGCACAAAAUAGACCAAAAAUAAGGGUAUUCUAUUUUCCUCCUAGAAACAUUAUUGUUUUACCUUUCAUAUUUAGGGCUGUAAUCCAUCUCAAAUUAAGUUUUUUAUUUGUUUUUAUGUAGAGGUCAAGAUAUAUUUUUUCUCACAUAUAUAUAAGUUGUUGCUGACACUGUUUAUUGAAUUUCAGUACUGCCUCUUUAACAGAUCAUGUGACCUUAUGUGUGACACACCAAGAAGGCAUCACCUGUGAGGAAGCAGGCCCUCAUCAGACAUGAAUCUGCCAACACCUUGAUUUUGGACCUUCCAGUCUCCAGAACUAAUACCACAGACUGGAUAAUUUGUCAAGAAUAGAAACUUACUGGCUAACUGUUCAAGAGUCCGGGAAGACUACUGUCAAGACGCUGGCAGGUUUGGUAAUUCUGAUUCCAAGAGAGAGCCUGUAUUAUGUACUGAGAUGGCCUCAGAUAAAAUUGCAAAGAGACAAAAAAAGGGGGGGGGGCUAAAUUCACUCUUUUAUGAAAGCGUUAAUCCUACCUGUGAGGGCAGAGCCUUUAAGGCCUAAUCAUCUCUCAAAUGUCUGACUUAUAAAUACUGUUAAAAUGGCAAUUAAAUUUGAAUUUGAGUUUUAGUGGGGACAGACAUUGAAAUGGUAGCAAGAAAGAAAGCCUGGCAGAAGUUAAAAUGAUUUUCUAGUACUAUUUUAUUUGAAUCUCUGCAGAAUUUUAUGGUAGGAAGAUAGGAAGAUAGAGUUAUGAUGGGAAUGGGUCUUUCCCCAAUGUAAUUAUUGCUCACUUUCCAGACAGAGCACAGCCCACUAUUUCCUCUACAACCUGUAGCCCAAUAUCAGAGCCACCAAUGCCCUCUGCUUCCAUCUAAAAACUGCAAAAAUAUUGGCUCAGAGAGAAAAGCACACUAUUUUUAGAGUGGAAAUCUGAAUCCCUUCAGCUGCAGGGCAGAGCAGAAGGCUAGCUGGGGCACAAAGCCAGGAAACUAGACUGACUGGUCUGUCCCAGAGGAAGCUUACAUCACAUUCAUUUAGAAGUUGCUUUGCUUUGCUUUUCCAACCUGUACUGUCCCCAUGGUUUCAUUUUCAUUUUUUCCAGCUAUGUUCAUAUACCAUGAAAUUACUGUGAAAUUUAUAUGUGACAUUUAAAAAAGUAAAUUAUUAGUAAUAGUCUGUAUAUGAAUAUAUGGAUUUUAAUACUUGGACUGUGGAUUUUAAUUGAAUUGUUAAUGUAAGUGUAUUUAUAGAAAUUUUAUAUAUAGAAGCUGGCACUGCAGAUAUUGGAAAAUCAAUUUAUUAUGAAUAUCUAUAAACUUUCAGUAAUGUUAUCAGAAUAUCAUAAAGUUAACAUAAUGUUCAGAUAAUUUGUUAUCAUAUGGGAAAUACAAUAGAUUCUUCACAUUAUUUGAAAAAAAUUUAAUAUGGCUUAAGUACAGUAAUAUAAAAGAAAAUUAUUAAACUCUU